GGGGGUCUACUAGGAGAACAGGGGUUGAAAGAGGGGGUCUACUAGGAGAACAGGGGUUGAAAGAGGGGGUCUACUAGGAGAACAGGGGUUGAAAGACGGGGUCUCCAAGGAGAACAGGGGGGUUGAAAGAGGGGUCUCCAAGGAUAACAGGGGGUUGAAAGAGGGGGUCUCCAAGGAUAACAGGGGGUUGAAAGAGGGGGUCUACUAGGAGAACAGGGGGUUGAAAGAGGGGGUCUCCAGGGAGAACAGGGGGUUGAAAGGAAGUGCGUCUUAGUCACCAGAUCUCAACCCAAUUGAACACUUCCGGGAGAUUCUGGAGUGGCCUCUUGAGACAGCGUUUUCCACCACCAUCAACAAAACACCAAAUGGUGGAAUUUCCCGUGGAAGAAUGGUGUCGCAUCCCUCCAGUAGAGUUCCAGACACGUCUUGAAUCUAUACCAAGGAGCACUUUUAACAUUUUUUUUAAACCUUUAUUUAACUAGGCAAGUCAGUUAAGAACAAAUUCUUAUUUUCAAUGACAGCCUACCAGGGAACAGUGGCUUAACUGCCUUGUUCAGGGGCAGAAUUUGUACCUUGUCAGCUCAGGGAUUAGAACUUGCAACCUUCCAGUUACUAGUCCAACGCUCUAACCACUAGGCUACCCUGCCGCCCCUACACUCUAACCACUAGGCUACCCUGCCGCCCCUACACUCUAACCACUAGGCUACCCUGCCACCCCUACACCCUAACCACUAGGCUACCCUGCCGCCCCUACACUCUAACCACUAGGCUACCCUGCCGCCCCUACACUCUAACCACUAGGCUACCCUGCCGCCCCUACACUCUAACCACUAGGCUACCUGCCGCCCUUACACUCUAACCACUAGGCUACCUGCCGCCCUUACACUCUAACCACUAGGCUACCUGCCGCCCCUACACUCUAACCACUAGGCUACCCUGCCGCCCCUACACUCUAACCACUAGGCUACCUGCCGCCCCUACACUCUAACCACUAGGCUACCUGCCGC
This is a long non-coding RNA of Oncorhynchus tshawytscha (Chinook salmon), 1007 nucleotides long. NCBI's taxonomy places the organism in Eukaryota, Metazoa, Chordata, Actinopteri, Salmoniformes, Salmonidae. The record is from Ensembl.